GACGGAGGAUGCAAGCGUUAUCCGGAAUUAUUGGGCGUAAAGCGUCCGCAGGUGGCAGUUCAAGUCUGCUGUCAAAGACCGGGGCUUAACUUCGGAAAGGCAGUGGAAACUGAACAGCUAGAGUAUGGCAGGGGCAGAGGGAAUUCCUGGUGUAGCGGUGAAAUGCGUAGAGAUCAGGAAGAACAUCGGUGGCGAAGGCGCUCUGCUGGGCCAUAACUGACACUCAGGGACGAAAGCUAGGGGAGCGAAUGGG
This 253-nucleotide ribosomal RNA is filed under the name uncultured bacterium. RNAcentral's name for it is "partial 16S ribosomal RNA". It matches the Rfam family "Bacterial small subunit ribosomal RNA", at positions 524 to 776 of the family's 1533-position model. The record is from RNAcentral.